Molecule: ribosomal RNA, 723 nt
Filed under: uncultured Alphaproteobacteria bacterium
Lineage: Bacteria; Pseudomonadati; Pseudomonadota; Alphaproteobacteria
Description: bacterial SSU rRNA
Rfam family: Bacterial small subunit ribosomal RNA
Source: RNAcentral
GGACUGUUAAGUCAGAUGUGAAAUCCCGGGGCUCAACUCCGGAACUGCAUUUGAAACUGAUAGUCUAGAGACCAGGAGAGGUUAGUGGAAUACCGAGUGUAGAGGUGAAAUUCGUAGAUAUUCGGUGGAACACCAGUGGCGAAGGCGACUAACUGGACUGGAACUGACGCUGAGGUGCGAAAGUGUGGGGAGCAAACAGGAUUAGAUACCCUGGUAGUCCACACCGUAAACGAUGAGAGCUAGUUGUUGGCAUGCAUGCAUGUCGGUGACACAGCUAACGCAUUAAGCUCUCCGCCUGGGGAGUACGGCCGCAAGGUUAAAACUCAAAGAAAUUGACGGGGGCCCGCACAAGCGGUGGAGCAUGUGGUUUAAUUCGACGCAACGCGCAGAACCUUACCUACCCUUGACAUGCCCUGUUUGGUUCAGAGAGAUCUGAUCCUUCAUUUAGUUGGCAGGUGCACAGGUGCUGCAUGGCUGUCGUCAGCUCGUGUCGUGAGAUGUUGGGUUAAGUCCCGCAACGAGCGCAACCCUCAUCCUUAGUUGCCAGCAGGUUUGGCUGGGCACUCUAAGGAAACUGCCGGUGGCAAGCCGGAGGAAGGUGGGGAUGACGUCAAGUCCUCAUGGCCCUUACGGGUAGGGCUACACACGUGCUACAAUGGUGGCUACAAUGGGAUAAUCCCCAAAAGCCAUCUCAGUUCGGAUUGUCGUCUGCAACUCGACGGC